This 468-nucleotide ribosomal RNA is filed under the name uncultured bacterium. RNAcentral describes it as "partial 16S ribosomal RNA". It matches the Rfam family "Bacterial small subunit ribosomal RNA", at positions 28 to 507 of the family's 1533-position model. The record is from RNAcentral.
GACGAACGCUGGCGGCGUGCUUAACACAUGCAAGUCGAACGGAAAGGCCCUGCUUUUGUGGGUUGCUCGAGUGGCGAACGGGUGAGUAACACGUGAGUAACCUGCCCUUGACUUUGGGAUAACUUCAGGAAACUGGGGCUAAUACCGGAUAGGAGCUCCUGCUGCAUGGUGUGGGUUGGAAAGUUUCGGCGGUUGGGGAUGGACUCGCGGCUUAUCAGCUUGUUGGUGGGGUAGUGGCUUACCAAGGCUUUGACGGGUAGCCGGCCUGAGAGGGUGACCGGCCACAUUGGGACUGAGGUACGGCCCAGACUCCUACGGGAGGCAGCAGUGGGGAAUAUUGCACAAUGGGCGGAGGCCUGAUGAAGCAACGCCGCGUGCGGGAUGACGGCCUUCGGGUUGUAAAACGCUUUCGCCUGUGACGAAGCGUGAGUGACGGUAAUGGGUAAAGAAACACCGGCUAACUACGUG